Long non-coding RNA from Aptenodytes forsteri (emperor penguin), 378 nucleotides. RefSeq lists it as uncharacterized. The record is from RefSeq and is a predicted model, not a curated record. The transcript has 3 exons. NCBI's taxonomy places the organism in Eukaryota, Metazoa, Chordata, Aves, Sphenisciformes, Spheniscidae.
AGCCCGGGGGCGGGUAAACGCUGCGGCCGCCCCUCUGGGCAGAGCUCCCGUCGGCAGGGGCCGUGGUCCGGCGGGGUUGGGCUGCCGCUCUUCUGACGGGAGCGCAGCUGUAAUGCCGGUUCUCCGGCGGCAACACCAUUUAAAUGGAUAAUUGACACGGAGUAACGUGGAAGAGUGCCGAUACCGACAACCGUCUGCCUAAGGCUGGCGCAGCGAGCUCGGCUGCGCGCCCCGGAACGCGAGGAAUCACUAAUCCUGAAGAAUGCUAUUAUAGUACAGAGUUGAAAUUACAAACAUGGAACUGAAGAAUCCUGCUUUUUAACACCAACUCAGAAGCCUGGAUUAUUGAAGAGCACUCCACAACAGCAGGAAGAAAAC